RNAcentral lists this ribosomal RNA (484 nucleotides) under uncultured bacterium. RNAcentral describes it as "partial 16S ribosomal RNA". It matches the Rfam family "Bacterial small subunit ribosomal RNA", at positions 30 to 507 of the family's 1533-position model. The record is from RNAcentral.
AUUGAACGCUGGCGGCAGGCCUAACACAUGCAAGUCGAGCGGAUGAAGGGAGCUUGCUCCUGGAUUCAGCGGCGGACGGGUGAGUAAUGCCUAGGAAUCUGCCUGGUAGUGGGGGAUAACGUCCGGAAACGGGCGCUAAUACCGCAUACGUCCUGAGGGAGAAAGUGGGGGAUCUUCGGACCUCACGCUAUCAGAUGAGCCUAGGUCGGAUUAGCUAGUUGGUGGGGUAAAGGCCUACCAAGGCGACGAUCCGUAACUGGUCUGAGAGGAUGAUCAGUCACACUGGAACUGAGACACGGUCCAGACUCCUAAGGGAGGCAGCAGUGGGGAAUAUUAGACAAUGGGCGAAAGCCUGAUCCAGCCAUGCCGCGUGUGUGAAGAAGGUCUUCGGAUUGUAAAGCACUUUAAGUUGGGAGGAAGGGCAGUAAGUUAAUACCUUGCUGUUUUGACGUUACCAACAGAAUAAGCACCGGCUAACUUCGUG